This 941-nucleotide ribosomal RNA is filed under the name Bacillus sp. (in: firmicutes). RNAcentral's name for it is "bacterial SSU rRNA". It matches the Rfam family "Bacterial small subunit ribosomal RNA", at positions 56 to 978 of the family's 1533-position model. Lineage: Bacteria; Bacillati; Bacillota; Bacilli; Caryophanales; Bacillaceae. The record is from RNAcentral.
UGCAGUUCGAGCGGACCGACGGGAGCUUGCUCCCUUAGGUCAGCGGCGGACGGGUGAGUAACACGUGGGUAACCUGCCUGUAAGACUGGGAUAACUCCGGGAAACCGGGGCUAAUACCGGAUGCUUGAUUGAACCGCAUGGUUCAAUCAUAAAAGGUGGCUUUUAGCUACCACUUGCAGAUGGACCCGCGGCGCAAUAGCUAGUUGGUGAGGUAACGGCUCACCAAGGCGACGAUGCGUAGCCCACCUGAGAGGGUGAUCGGCCACACUGGGACUGAGACACGGCCCAGACUCCUACGGGAGGCAGCAGUAGGGAAUCUUCCGCAAUGGACGAAAGUCUGACGGAGCAACGCCCCGUGAGUGAUGAAGGUUUUCGGAUCGUAAAACUCUGUUGUUAGGGAAGAACAAGUACCGUUCGAAUAGGGCGGUACCUUGACGGUACCUAACCAGAAAGCCACGGCUAACUACGUGCCAGCAGCCGCGGUAAUACGUAGGUGGCAAGCGUUGUCCGGAAUUAUUGGGCGUAAAGCGCGCGCAGGCCGUUUCUUAAGUCUGAUGUGAAAGCCCCCGGCUCAACCGGGGAGGGUCAUUGGAAACUGGGGAACUUGAGUGCAGAAAAGGAGAGUGGAAUUCCACGUGUAGCGGUGAAAUGCGUAGAGAUGUGGAGGAACACCAGUGGCGAAAGCGACUCUCUGGUCUGUAACUGACGCUUAAGCGCGAAAGCGUGGGGAGCGAACAAGAUUAAAUACCCUGGUAGUCCACGCCGUAAACGAUGAAUGCUAACUGUUAAAAGGUUUCCGCCCUUUAAUGCUGCAGCAAACCCAUUAAACACUCCCCCUGGGGAGUACGGUCGCAAGACUGAAACUCAAAGGAAUUGACGGGGGCCGCACAAUCAGUGGAGCAUGUGGUUUAAUUCAAAGCAACGCCCAGAAACUUAUCCAG